RNAcentral lists this ribosomal RNA (402 nucleotides) under uncultured prokaryote. RNAcentral's name for it is "bacterial SSU rRNA". It matches the Rfam family "Bacterial small subunit ribosomal RNA", at positions 355 to 774 of the family's 1533-position model. The record is from RNAcentral.
UGGGGAAUAUUGGACAAUGGGCGCAAGCCUGAUCCAGCCAUGCCGCGUGAGUGAUGAAGGCCCUAGGGUUGUAAAGCUCUUUCAACGGUGAAGAUAAUGACGGUAACCGUAGAAGAAGCCCCGGCUAACUUCGUGCCAGCAGCCGCGGUAAUACGAAGGGGGCUAGCGUUGUUCGGAAUUACUGGGCGUAAAGCGCACGUAGGCGGAUACUUAAGUCAGGGGUGAAAUCCCGAGGCUCAACCUCGGAACUGCCUUUGAUACUGGGUAUCUUGAGUCCGGAAGAGGUGAGUGGAAUUCCGGGUGUAGAGGUGAAAUUCGUAGAUAUUCGGAGGAACACCAGUGGCGAAGGCGGCUCACUGGUCCGGUACUGACGCUGAGGUGCGAAAGCGUGGGGAGCAAACA